CCUCGAGUCCAGGAAAAUCUGUAGUCAUCAGCUGAAUAGAAAACAGAAAUAUUCAGUGAAAAAUUAUGGAAAAAAAUUCAAGAUUUGAAAAAAACAAUUACCGGUGUCCAUUCAGUGGAAUGCCACUUAUAACAAGGACCUGCAUCACAAACUUUCGAGAUUUGCGAAGGCGAUCCGCUACAAUAAUUUGCAUGAACCACACGAUUUUCCACCUGACACCAAUAAGGCCUUUGUUGUUUUCCCAGUCCACAAGUAGCCGAGCACUGAAAAGAAUAAUAAAAUUGUUCA
Long non-coding RNA from Leptopilina heterotoma, 288 nucleotides. RefSeq lists it as uncharacterized. Lineage: Eukaryota; Metazoa; Arthropoda; Insecta; Hymenoptera; Figitidae. The transcript has 2 exons. The record is from RefSeq and is a predicted model, not a curated record.